UGGGGAAUUUUGGACAAUGGGCGAAAGCCUGAUCCAGCAAUGCCGCGUGUGUGAAGAAGGCCUUCGGGUUGUAAAGCACUUUUGUCCGGAAAGAAAUCCUUGGCUCUAAUACAGUCGGGGGAUGACGGUACCGGAAGAAUAAGCACCGGCUAACUACGUGCCAGCAGCCGCGGUAAUACGUAGGGUGCAAGCGUUAAUCGGAAUUACUGGGCGUAAAGCGUGCGCAGGCGGUUUGCUAAGACCGAUGUGAAAUCCCCGGGCUCAACCUGGGAACUGCAUUGGUGACUGGCAGGCUAGAGUAUGGCAGAGGGGGGUUAGAAUUCCACGUGUAGCAGUGAAAUGCGUAGAGAUGUGGAGGAAUACCGAUGGCGAAGGCAGCCCCCUGGGCAAUACUGACGCUCAUGCACGAAAGCGUGGGGAGCAAACAGGAUUAGAUACCCUGGUAGUCCACGCCCUAAACGAUGUCAACUAGUUGUUGGGGAUUCAUUUCCUAGUAACGUAGCUAACGCGUGAAGUUGACCGCCUGGGGAGUACGGUCGCAAGAUUAAAACUCAAAUGAAUUGACA
RNAcentral lists this ribosomal RNA (566 nucleotides) under uncultured bacterium. Its description in RNAcentral is "partial 16S ribosomal RNA". It matches the Rfam family "Bacterial small subunit ribosomal RNA", at positions 355 to 915 of the family's 1533-position model. The record is from RNAcentral.